GCGCCCUUAGCUCAGCUGGAUAGAGCAGCAGCCUUCGAAGCUGACGGUCGAGGGUUCGAAUCCCUCAGGGCGCACCA
Molecule: transfer RNA, 77 nt
Filed under: Parcubacteria group bacterium ADurb.Bin192
Lineage: Bacteria
Also listed under: 1 other name
Description: tRNA-Arg
Rfam family: tRNA
About the family: Transfer RNA (tRNA) molecules are approximately 80 nucleotides in length.
Source: RNAcentral